ACUACUGUACUGACGUUACAAGCAUGAUUCAGAAGAUAGUGAAUGGAUUAACAUUUUCAACACUAGUUAAGGAUACUAUAGGCCUAGUUAUCACGUUUUAUGUUGGAUUUAUCAACUACAAAAAGUAUCUUUGAUGAGGGACCAGGAGACGAUCUAAGCUGCCAUGCCCAUCAAUGGGGCUCUGGCAAAGACCUUACCUCCAGCCUCACCUCUAGCCUGCUCACCAAUGGUCGUCGAUGGGGAGACCAGAAUUGAAUGCAUCUAUUGAGCCAGCACUUGCAAGAUGAUGUGAUGGAGUCCUGACCGACAGACAAACUUGAUACUGACGACUGUGAAUAGGGAGAGACCUGACACAACUUUCACUUGUAUUGUCUUUUUUUAUUAUUGAAUUGAAUGCUAUCAGUCAAUACUGGGACGGAGAAAUCCUGUGUAUUCUGCACCAGGAUCAGGGAACUACUGUUGUAUACCGGACACCACACAGGAAGGUAUGACCACUCUGACAUGUUUGCCAAGGUAGCCCCAUUCCCACCAGACAAAAUGCCAAUAGGCACAGUAUCUGUAUUGGCUGGGAAUGACAGUGAAAUGUGAAAGGUGCACAUGUAUCUACAUGGAUGUUACUACAUUUGAAAGUUAUCAAAACACCUAGUUUAAAAUAUCAACAUAAAUUCAGCCAUUCCAUUUUUCUCAUAUUACUCUGUAGGUUACUGACCUAUUCAAAGCUUCCUCCGGCAUAUCACCAUACAUCUAUCUGCCUGUAGUUAUUGAACUCAACCUGCAGGAGGUUUGUUUGUUGUGAUUGAGUGGGGGAAAAGGUUCUGACAGAUGGGUGUGUCUUGGUGGAGGCAAGGACACACCCAACAAACACACACAUCAAACCACACCCCCAACUCCCGUUUGGCUUCGGUCAUAGCCGCCAGCAUUUCUUGAAGAGCAAGCCAAAAAAUGAGGCCUAAUCAGCGGGUGCUGUUCCCCUUUAAGCAACUGUAAUUAAACUGCAAGAGCUUGUGAGUCUUUUUUUGAAAGGUUAAAUUAAGUUCAGACUACAUAAUAGCUUUCUGCAAAGCCCUAUACGGUACAUCAAGGUUAAUAUAGAUGUGUUUUUAUAUUUGUUUUUAGUUCUAUUAGUUUGAAGAUUUUUAUUUGAAAUUCAGUUUAGUUUCAGUUAGUUUUCAGAUCCCCUUGACUAUUUUUUAAACUGUAGUAGUGGGUCAACUUCAACAACAAGCAGGAACGCUUAAUCACGAGGCUAAACUCCCCUGCAGCAAAGUCUUGCAUCAUGCUCUUCUCAAUAGGCGGGUUUGAGCUGAUCACUUUUGUUAAGUUGGUGACUAACACCUUUCAAAGUUUGUUGCAUUUUGGGGAUAAAAACUGACCGACUUGGGAGGCUCUAUUGUCAACCAAUCAUUAGGGUGUUUUUGUUUGACGCACGCGAACGUGACCAGAGACAUGAAUGAAACAGGAACAAAUUUGCUGUGAUUUAUGUGUGCAGUAGAUAUAUGCAAAUAAAUGUGAUAUUUGAGGCUCUCUCUCACUAAUUGAUUGUACAAUGUGUACAGACACAAUAUUAUAUUAUGAUUUCUGUUAGUGAGUGUGUUAUAUGGGGGUUGGAGACAUGUUUAUUUCGACAUUAUAAUUUAUUUAUUUUGAUAAACAAUGGCAAAACUGCCAUGUUGAACUGAGCCUUGCUGUUGGAAAACCACAUUAGUGGUCGCAGAUGCACCUCCCCGACUUCACUCCUCGACGUUCGUCUAGUCGGUUUCUUUAGCCUUACCACUCAAACGCUCCCAAUAUCUGUGGUGCUGCUCAUGGCAACAUCUUCCCGCUGAAUCUACCAUUAAAUUAUACAGUCAAUCUCAAUGUGACCCAUCAGAAGCUUGAAAGCCCCAUAAAAAGAAACACUCCACAUUCAAUUUCUGCCCCACAAAAAAACAGAAACUGAACAUAAUUCAUGAUGGUUUGUAUUUUAUUUUAGUCAAAGACAAUAGUUUCAGUGUAGUUUUAGUUUUUCAAAAGGGUUUGUUAAUUAUUUUAUUUCAGUUUACUAAAUAGUUUUUUCAUGAUUAGUUUUAGUUUCAGUUUUAGUUUACUACAAUGUGUACAUUCAGUCUUACCAAAGCCAUAUACCGUACUUUACAUUAAUGUCUAACCAUAAUAGAAUUAUGUAUUCUAGUAAAACUCCUGAAUAAAUGUUUUUAAACUGUAAAACGUUUCAACAGAAUGAGAAUAACAAAAAAUGUACCGAAAUAUGUUUUGUUUUCAUUGAUGUUUGCCUAAUAACAACAGCACUGUGCCAUGGGAAAAUAAUACUCUCCACUACAGCUGCCGGCAUCUCACAGUAGUAUCUCACAGUAGGAUCUCACAGUAGUAUGUCACAGCAGUAUCUCACAGCAGUAUCUCACAGUAGUAUCUAACAUUAGACAAGUAAAAAUCCAUCACUAGAAGCAGCAGCAUGGUGAAACGAGGCAGGUGUCCUUGAGCUAGCUGUGUAACAUGUAUAAAUACAAGUGAUUGUACUUUUAUUGACAUUCAUCCCCUGCAGUGUGAAAGAUGUGUACACUCUACUAGCUUACAGUAUAUCCACUGGCUCUGUGUGUUGGUGUGUUAACGUAGAGCAGGCCCUAUUCCCUAGACUCAGAGCCCACCCUGUUCUCACAGCAGUGAUUGACUGAACUCACACAUAUUUUGCACAAGUGCCAGCCAGCUCCCUCCUAAUCAUGUCCUUAUUAAGCAGGAGACCAUGUCUUUCUGUUUCACCCAAACACCCCCACACACAAACCAAAGCUGUCCAGAUAGGCUACACGAAUCCAUGCGCAAAGACAAAGAUAAAUACAGACCAUACUGAAGGUUUCGCUGUUGCAUAACAAUCUCACACUGAGAUUGAGUCAUAUAGUUCACACUGGGCCAGCCAGCAUAUUCACAGCCUCUCAACAGACUCACACCUACAGUACUGCAGCUUCUCACAUGGGAGCUCUCAAAUGUACACAAACAGUGAGUGCAGCCGAACUCUAAAACAGGCACCAUGUACACACACACACACACACUUUGUUGUGUGUUUAUAAGUGAGAGAGAGAGAGAGAGAGAAAGUGUGUGGAGGCUCAUCUCAUGGUCUGCACCUCUCCUUCCACUGGGGGUAUGCGUCACUGCGGCAAAGGGCCUGUGUGUGUGUGUGUGUGUGUGUGUGUGUGUGUGUGUGUGUGUGUGUGUGUGUGUGUGUGUGUGUGUGUGUGUGUGUGUGUGUGUGUGUGUGUGUGUGUAUUGAUACGUGUGUGUGUGAGCUCUCCGGCAGAAUAGGGAGCUGACUGCUUCACAGCCAACAAGCUGUUCCACAAAGUGCUACUCAUGGAACAGUACCUCCACCCCAGGGGCCUUAGUGAUAGCCAUGCUGACCUUGUCUCUCCAGACCUUCAUCCAGACCAUCCCCUCCCCUACAGACCAACUGUGCAGUAAGAGACAGACUACACACACCAAACCAGCUCCAAAAUAAACCUGUUUGGUUCAGUUUAUAGCAGUUUAGCCCACAUACACACACACACGUACACACACGCAUACAGGCAGGGGAGGACCAACCCUAAUACACCACUCACAGUGCCCCAAUACAGCUUAAAACUCACUAAUCCUGAUCCUGCAUAUCAGUAUGGCCAUCGGCGCACCCUCCCCCCUUCCCUACAUGGGCUGCUUGUCAGAUCAGAGCAGAGGGAAUCGAUAGCAGACAACCCUCUCACAUAUACCUGCCUGUUUAGUAUGCCUGCUCUGAUUCCCAGGUAAUUGGAACCCUUAGUGAAAUGCUGUCAGUUA
This is a long non-coding RNA of Oncorhynchus nerka (sockeye salmon), 3795 nucleotides long. RefSeq lists it as uncharacterized. The record is from RefSeq and is a predicted model, not a curated record. NCBI's taxonomy places the organism in Eukaryota, Metazoa, Chordata, Actinopteri, Salmoniformes, Salmonidae. The transcript is spliced from 3 exons.